UUCAGAUGAAGAUGUAGAACUCUCAGUUCCUCCUGCACCAUGUCUGCCUGGAUACUGCCAUGUUCCUACCUUGAUGAUAAUGAACUGAACCUCUGAACCUCUAUUGGAACUAUUGGGAACCUAACUGGGGAAGCCGGCUAUGGUGAAGCACACUUGGAAUCCCAGGAGUGUGAAGCAGAGGAUCAGGAAUCCAAGACGAGAUGAACUUGGCUUCAGGAUGCAUCAACCGUGUCCCAUGAUUAGAUGUUCUGUGAAUUUUGACCAGUUGUAGAGCUCUGUCUGCGGCCAAAAGUAGAGUGUAUGGCACAUACAUGUAGAUGCCUGCAGAGGCCAGAAGAAGGAGUUGGAUCCCCUGAGGCUGAGGCUGGACCAUUGUUAAGUACUAGGAGCCUAAUUUCAGUUGUCUGGAAGAACAGCCAUCACUUUUAACUUGGGAGUCACCUCUCCAGUCCGAACCUUUGCUGCCGCUUUAGUUGACUAAUUCAGGUAUUUUGUUAGAGUCACGCAAAACCGAGUAACAAGCGAAACACACACAUUUAUUACAUGCAUGAGGCUAUCACAUGGAAGGAAAUGCACACUCAGAGUCCGAGAGAGACUUAGCAGCUCACUCACCCUUCUCAUAGGUGAGAGGGGAGAAGAAGCAAAGACAUUUCAGAGGAAACGGAACGACCUUAAGGAAGAUGGAUGGGCUCAGAGGACAGAUGACAGCCUGUGACACAAUCUGCCUGGGCCUUGUUCCUCUCCUAUGACCCUGCUUGCUAUACCCUGCUUGCUACAAUUCCGGACAAGUGUGGUUACCUUUGCAGAAUGUAAUUCAGAAACAAAACAAAACAAACAAAACCCCCAAGCCUCCAACAACAACAACAAACCUGUAACCAUUGUUCCCUAAGUUCCCUUAGUUUAAGGUUACCAGCAGGGCACAGUGGCAUGUUUCAGAAAGGCAGUCCUGAGCUGCUUCAAACCAGUGACUUUUAUAUUCCUUAGAAUUUAAAUCAUCCUAACUCCCCGAUAGACCCUCCUUCUCUUCAGCUCCCCUCCCAGCAGGAGAUAAAUUGAAUAUUAUACAGAAGCCAUAAAAGCAGAGAUAUUCAUUCUCUAAAUGGUUUUAAUGGAAGCGAUAAACACAGCAUUUGUCCACCAACAAUAAGCCAGCCCCGCUCCUAUAACAGCAAGGGCAGAACCAGAGAUCUUGAAGUGCAGUUCACACAGAAUACAGGGGGUCUCAAAGAACCGUGUGCUUGCUGCAUAUUAAUGGGGAUGGAGUCUGUGGUGAACAGUCUUUGGGGUAUGUGUGGUUUCCUUAGUCAGAUGUCUAAUUCUCACCUUCCUCGUGGCCCUGGCUUUGGCCCCAAGCUCCACCCCUCCCCUGAGCUUUAUCCUGGAUUCAGGAGAUGGCAGGGACUGUAAAUCUGGGCUGAGGUGAGACAGCUGUUUUGCAUAAUUACUUGGUAAUUUGCGAAAGCUGAAAUUUUAAUCACCUUUAGGUCAACUCAAACUACCCCAUCCAGAACACCUGCAUCAAAGCGGCAGCUUGCAAUGCCAGGCUCGGCAGCCUCAGUCCUUCUGCGCCCCGCCCCCUCCACCCUUCCUGGGAGAUUUCUGUGAGAGGUAGGUCUGAUCUAAGGACCUCAUUUGAAGUCCUCUGACUCCUCACCUCCCAGACUCCCAGCUCCAGUCAUAGCAGGAUGACAGCUCUCACACAGCUGGCAUGUCAUGCCUGUGCACCAGUGAAAACCCUUUCCUAUGCUCAGAAGCCGACUUCUUCCAUCCUGUUUGCUGAAGCCCUCACCUUGGCUAGUUAUCUCCAGGAAGGUCUCCCGAGUGCCUAGAAGGAGUUGGUUAGGGAUUUCCUGUUCUGAAGGGCAGAGUUCUUGCCCUUUAACCUCACGCUCAGAGUGGAAUUAUCCUCCUGUUUGUCUCUCUCGCUUGUUCAUACGUGCCUCUCAACAUCUCAGUGCAGGAUACAUCUUUAUCUUUAUAGCCAUUAAACUCAGGGUAGGCUAUCACAAAGCAAUCAUCCCACAGAUGUCGACUGAAAGAACAAAUGCAUGAAUGAACAAGAGAACAAUAAAUUGGGAGAAAGAAAUCAAGAACUUGAGGAUAGUACUGCUAUGUCUUUUUCAAAGACACACACUUCUCAAUUAAUUCCUGUGAAAUGCGUACAUAGUUGCUUUAGUUCUCUGUACCCUGAGUUUCUUGUCAACAUGACACAAGUGGGAUCAUUUGGGAAGAAGGAGCUUCAAGUGAAAAUACCCCCAUUACA
This is a long non-coding RNA of Apodemus sylvaticus (European woodmouse), 2263 nucleotides long. RefSeq lists it as uncharacterized. Lineage: Eukaryota; Metazoa; Chordata; Mammalia; Rodentia; Muridae. The transcript is spliced from 4 exons. The record is from RefSeq and is a predicted model, not a curated record.